RNAcentral lists this ribosomal RNA (257 nucleotides) under Vibrio parahaemolyticus. RNAcentral describes it as "partial 16S ribosomal RNA". It matches the Rfam family "Bacterial small subunit ribosomal RNA", at positions 1 to 244 of the family's 1533-position model. The record is from RNAcentral. Lineage: Bacteria; Pseudomonadati; Pseudomonadota; Gammaproteobacteria; Vibrionales; Vibrionaceae.
AAAUUGAAGAGUUUGAUCAUGGCUCAGAUUGAACGCUGGCGGCAGGCCUAACACAUGCAAGUCGAGCGGAAACGAGUUAUCWGAACCUUCGGGGRACGAUAACGGCGUCGAGCGGCGGACGGGUGAGUAAUGCCUAGGAAAUUGCCCUGAUGUGGGGGAUAACCAUUGGAAACGAUGGCUAAUACCGCAUGAUGCCUACGGGCCAAAGAGGGGGACCUUCGGGCCUCUCGCGUCAGGAUAUGCCUAGGUGGGAUUAG